AUUGAACGCUGGCGGAAUGCUUUACACAUGCAAGUCGAGCGGCAGCGCGGGGGCAACCCUGGCGGCGAGCGGCGAACGGGUGAGUAACAUAUCGGAACGUACCCCGUCGUGGGGGAUAACACAGCGAAAGCUGUGCUAAUACCGCAUACGACCUGAGGGUGAAAGCGGGGGAUCGCAAGACCUCGCGCGAUGGGAGCGGCCGAUAUCGGAUUAGCUUGUUGGUGAGGUAAAGGCUCACCAAGGCGACGAUCCGUAGCUGGUCUGAGAGGACGACCAGCCACACUGGAACUGAGACACGGUCCAGACUCCUACGGGAGGCAGCAGUGGGGAAUUUUGGACAAUGGGGGCAACCCUGAUCCAGCCAUUCCGCGUGAGUGAAGAAGGCCUUCGGGUUGGUUAAAGGUACU
RNAcentral lists this ribosomal RNA (407 nucleotides) under uncultured bacterium. Its description in RNAcentral is "bacterial SSU rRNA". It matches the Rfam family "Bacterial small subunit ribosomal RNA", at positions 29 to 434 of the family's 1533-position model. The record is from RNAcentral.